This 450-nucleotide ribosomal RNA is filed under the name uncultured bacterium. RNAcentral's name for it is "partial 16S ribosomal RNA". It matches the Rfam family "Bacterial small subunit ribosomal RNA", at positions 354 to 796 of the family's 1533-position model. The record is from RNAcentral.
GUCGAGAAUAAUUCACAAUGGACGAAAGUCUGAUGGUGCAACGCCGUGUGGAGGAUGACGGUCUUCGGAUUGUAAACUCCUGUCAUCCGGGAGUAAGACCUGGCUGUGAAUAGCAGACAGGGUUGAUAGUACCGGAAGAGGAAGGGACGGCUAACUUCGUGCCAGCAGCCGCGGUAAUACGAAGGUCCCGAGCGUUGUUCGGAAUCACUGGGCGUAAAGGGAGCGUAGGCGGCGUGGUAAGUCAGAUGUGAAAUCCCGGGGCUCAACCCCGGAACUGCAUCCGAUACUGCCGUGCUAGAGGAUUGGAGAGGUAGCUGGAAUUCUUGGUGUAGCAGUGAAAUGCGUGGAGAUCAAGAGGAACACUCGUGGCGAAAGCGAGCUACUGGACAAUAUCUGACGCUGAGGCUCGAAGGCCAGGGUAGCGAAAGGGAUUAGAUACCCCUGUAGUCC